This is a long non-coding RNA of Hippocampus zosterae (dwarf seahorse), 910 nucleotides long. RefSeq lists it as uncharacterized. The record is from RefSeq and is a predicted model, not a curated record. The transcript is spliced from 2 exons. NCBI's taxonomy places the organism in Eukaryota, Metazoa, Chordata, Actinopteri, Syngnathiformes, Syngnathidae.
CGCCAUUGGAGGAGGAGGACUUGUGUCAUAUGACAUACCCGGAAAUGGAAUGACGUGAGGGUGGGAGUGACUCUGGACGCGGAACCGAAGUGAUGUCCGCCCGGAAAAAAGUAUCCCCUUCUCCUGACCACCUGUGAUGUCUUGAACGCUGCCCGACGCUCAUCCCGUCGGCCGGUGGGGAGGCUGCGUUACAUUCUCGGCAAAAUCGGGACUCGUGGAGGCGGAUGCGAGGCGUUGCGUAACCGCCGAGCCUGUCCGCGAUGCCACUGGUGUUGGACGCCGUGUGGGCGCUGUGGAGCAUCACGGCGGGGAUUUACGACUACCUCCACACCAGCGCCAUGGAGGAGAGGAUCCACACGUUGGAGAACGUGCUCUCCAUACACCAGUUUGUCAUCGCGGGGCUGUCGGCAGGCCUCAUCCUGCUUAUGACAUACAUCCUGUGGAGGAAGCACUGAUGAGGAUGAACGGGAUGACAUGCACGCGCCACCACCAUGAAAAGGCAAUGGAAUGGAGCAAAGUUGUUUCUAUGUAUGUUAAAUGUUGAUUUUCACUUCUGUAACUGACUGCUGGCCCAGGUUCCAAAGCCAAUACAGAGAUAAUAAGUGCACUGGUUGUUUUUCUGGCUCUUUUUAUGUCUCUGCACAUCCUCCAGGCAUGAUAAGAAAGCAAUGUUGCGUUAUUUUGAAGAUUUUAUCAUGGUUUAGAAAUGCAGCUUGGCUCGCAUUUGAUCAACAAGUUAGUCAAGCUGCAACCUAUUUUCUAUUUUUGUUUAUCUUUUUUUGGUUUUGUUUAACUUUGAUUUUUCUGUGGAGUGCAAUAAUGCAUUAUGUUGUGACAAACUGCUAAUAUGGAUGGCCACUUUAAAAGGGAAUACUGUAUGUACAAAUAAUAAAAGCUCAUCAGUGAUGAA